Molecule: long non-coding RNA, 1252 nt
Organism: Saccostrea cuccullata (small rock oyster)
Lineage: Eukaryota; Metazoa; Mollusca; Bivalvia; Ostreida; Ostreidae
Exons: 5
Source: RefSeq, a predicted model, not a curated record
AGUCUGUAAGUCUCGUCACGUGACUCGCGAGAUUUUACGAUAAUUUUUACUUCCUCGCACAUGGUCAUGGUGAAUGUGUAUUGAGUUCAGCAUGUUUCUGGUUUACACACAGCUUUCAGGGGGAAAUUAAAUAGUUUUACAAAGCCGGAGGGUUGUCCGACUUACGAUGUAUGAAUUUCAUGUCAUAAGAAAUUGGGUGCGAGCGUCCACCAGGAAUAUUUCGAUGAAAUACAGAUUUCUCUUGAAUCCGAGAUGUUAUUCAUCAGCUGAUUAUAGAGGAGGAGUUUUGUCAUUGAUGGGAACCAACGUCAUAUUUAUGAUAUUGUGGCUGCAUCACUUUUGUUUUGAGGUACAAGAGAACCAGUAACACAGAUAAAAGAUGCAGUUCCUAAGAGAUCCAAAGUCAGCAGCACCUAAGACCAAACUGACUUUGAAUUAUCAGCAUCCAAAACAAUGCAAAUCAAAUACAGGUUUUGUCUGUACAUCUGGCAAUCUUGGGGCAAUACUGGAUGGUUUUAACUAAGAACUGAUCCAGCAUGAAGACCAGCCAUGUGCCUCACCUGUCAUGACAUUAUUAAAGUACUUUGUGACAGUGGGAUGAUGGAAUAUUAAAGAAUGGACAUGGCUCUAUAUUACUGCAUCAGAGAUCAAUCGAGGUUUACUUAUAAAUCAAAGAAAAACACUUAAACAGUCAAGUAUCAUUUGAAGCUACAUGUGUCACCGCUUUAACAAUAUGCCUGCUUAUAUAACCAAGAAAGCACAGUGACCAGUUGUACCUAUGAUGUCGGACAAGAUCCCGAAAAAACUUCCAGUACACUCAUCACUACCUGCAAAGAAUUGAAAAUUCUAAAUGACUUGUAUCAACAUUUUUGUACUUCAUCUGGCUUGUAUUUUCAAUACUCAUUAUCUUUUAGCUUCCAGUGCAAACAAAAUUUCAUAAGUACUAACUUGCAGGUGUUAAAUAUUUGAAACAGUUUGUUUGUCCCAAAGGAAAUUCUGCCAAUUAGCAGUGGCAUGAGCAGUUGAUUGAUGUCACAGUUCCACCGGCAAAGUAUUUGUAGCUGAAUGGUGCCAUGUAAAACACUUUUCACAAGAACAUGGAAAACAUCCUAGAAGUGAGGAUCUACAAGAAAUUAAGAGAAUACUUUCUUGAAUAUUUUCAAUGUUAUAAAAUGCUUGUGUACAUCCUUUAUAUAUAAAACUAAUUACGCAUGUAACUACCAAAUAUACAAAUUAAACUUCAAUCCUUAAA